UACGAAGGGGGCGAGCGUUGUUCGGAAUCACUGGGCGUAAAGGGCGCGUAGGCGGCCCUCCUUGUCGCGUGUGAAAGCCCCGGGCUCAACCUGGGAACGGCGCGCGAGACGGGGGGGCUGGAGUUCGGGAGAGGGGCGUGGAAUUCCCAGUGUAGAGGUGAAAUUCGUAGAUAUUGGGAAGAACACCGGUGGCGAAGGCGGCGCUCUGGACCGAGACUGACGCUGAGGCGCGAAAGCGUGGGGAGCAAACGGG
This 253-nucleotide ribosomal RNA is filed under the name uncultured bacterium. Its description in RNAcentral is "partial 16S ribosomal RNA". It matches the Rfam family "Bacterial small subunit ribosomal RNA", at positions 524 to 776 of the family's 1533-position model. The record is from RNAcentral.